This 1248-nucleotide long non-coding RNA is filed under the name Setaria viridis. Its description in RNAcentral is "long non-coding RNA (SVIR_LNC004849)". Lineage: Eukaryota; Viridiplantae; Streptophyta; Magnoliopsida; Poales; Poaceae. The record is from RNAcentral.
GGAGAUCAGGAGUAGGAGUAGAUCAUCGAUGGUAUGUACUCGGAGGUGAUGAUCUAAAUACAUCUAUUAUAUAAGCAAUGUUCUUCAUGUCAUCCAGUCUAUUAGCAACUUAUUGCCUCCUUCUAUGCUUUCUGUCUAUCAUGGAUAUGCUUGUUCCUAGUCUAGUUCCGGAUUAGAUUAUCUAGCAUGCUUGUGUAAUCAUGGUGAUUAGAUCUAGUAUGUUGAUCCUUCAUGAUAGUUAGACAUGUUCACCUGUGUUCGUGCCCUUAAUUGCCUGCGCUGAUACGAGGGAUCGUGACAUGAUCUGCUUCCAUGUAGGGUGGGGGAUUUUAGGAGGUUGACCAGAGGUAGUAGUUUAAAGAUUGCUUUGGAUGAGAUGCAUGAUUUGCUUGCUUAUUAGCAAGAUCUACAACUAGAAGAUGAUAGGUCCUUGUUACCCAUAGUUAUGCUAUCUCAUAUGAGUCUAUGGAUGCGAUCAAUCUAUUCUCUAUCACUCAUAUCUAUUAUGUUUACCUUUAGAUGCAAUCGAUGCUUCAUGUUAGGAUUAGAUUCAUUGAGUUAGAUAGAAAACCCUAGUUAGUUCGCUGCUGAUCCACGGAUUGAUAAACCUUAGAUGGAAUACUCUAAGGGAAAAGCUACAAUGAUUCGUGCACUUGCGGUUCACAAAUUGGCGCGCUAACUGCCGUCAUCAAGCUUUUCUGGCACCGUUGCCGAGGAUCGGCAACUCGAACCCUCGGGUGAUCUAUCUAAUUUUUUGGACUACCCCUAAUUCUUUUUAUUGCAUAUACCCUAUUUUUCUUGUUUGUGUCCUUGAAUGUAGGUAAAUACUAGAUGCUAGAUGAUCGAAUAUGGACUUUCAUCAAGUCUGGAUUCACUCUGAUAAGAUGAUAACAACAUCAAGCUCAACUCUUUAGCAGUAGGUGCUAACUUUGUUAGUGGCCCAGCAUCUGCUAUGAGUCCACACCAAUGAAGACAAUACAAAUGCUUAUAAGCAAGUUAUGCCGCUAUGUCAAUUAAUUUCUAAAGAUUAAUGUUUCUUGGAGAUUUGUUUGUUCAAGUAAAAGGUGUUGGAAGCAACCAUGUCAAGCAAAAAGGGACGAUUGGUGGGCCUCUCUACAUAGAAGGUGAUGAUUUCGAGAUGAUCAAUACUGGAGGCAACAAGAUUUGAAGAACCUUGACACUACCAAUUUUCUCUAGUAGGAUGCUUAAGAGCUUCUAAUUGAGUGAUGCAAUCAAGGAAGAAAACUG